This is an RNA transcript of Erinaceus europaeus (western European hedgehog), 9089 nucleotides long. It is a transcript of the gene named serine/arginine repetitive matrix 2, with no coding region annotated. The record is from RefSeq and is a predicted model, not a curated record. The transcript is spliced from 14 exons. Lineage: Eukaryota; Metazoa; Chordata; Mammalia; Eulipotyphla; Erinaceidae.
UGCUGACGUGCGUCGCGGCCUAGGUAGGGAGCGAGUGGCGCAGUCGGAGUCCGCUGCGGCCCCUGAGGAAGCGAAGCGUCAGCGGCGGCGGCGGCGGCGGCGGCGGCGACUGCCUAGGCGGACCGGCGAGGCGAGGCGGCGGCUCCAGGGCCCCGGGACUCGGCAGUUGGCGCAGCGCGGCGGCGAAGGGCCCUCGCCACCUCGUAGGCGGCGGGCGGAGGCGGCGGGAGCGGUGGUGCCCCCCCCCCCCGGGCACGGGGCCAUGUACAACGGGAUCGGGCUGCCGACGCCCCGGGGCAGCGGCACCAACGGCUACGUCCAGCGCAACCUGUCCCUGGUGCGGGGCCGCCGGGGUGAGCGGCCUGACUACAAGGGAGAGGAGGAGCUGCGGCGCCUGGAGGCCGCCCUGGUGAAGCGGCCUAACCCUGACAUCCUGGACCACGAGCGCAAGCGGCGCGUGGAGCUGCGAUGCCUCGAGCUGGAGGAGAUGAUGGAAGAGCAGGGGUACGAAGAACAGCAGAUUCAGGAAAAAGUGGCGACCUUUCGACUCAUGUUGCUGGAGAAGGAUGUGAACUCGGGGGGCAAGGAGGAGACCCCGGGGCAGAGGCCAGCGGUAACCGAGACUCACCAGCUGGCUGAAUUGAAUGAGAAGAAGAAUGAGCGGCUCCGAGCUGCCUUUGGCAUCAGUGAUUCAUAUGUGGAUGGAAGCUCUUUUGAUCCUCAGCGUCGUGCUCGAGAAGCUAAACAACCAGCUCCUGAGCCCCCCAAACCUUACAGCCUGGUUCGGGAGUCCAGCAGUUCUCGUUCACCAACCCCAAAGCAAAAGAAGAAGAAAAAGAAGAAAGAUAGAGGACGGAGGUCAGAGAGCAGCUCUCCCCGAAGAGAGAGGAAGAAAAGCUCAAAGAAGAAAAAACACAGAUCAGAAUCUGAAUCCAAGAAGAGGAAGCACAGGUCUCCCACUCCAAAGAGCAAACGCAAAUCUAAAGACAAGAAGCGAAAGCGCAGGUCUCGAAGUACAACGCCGGCCCCCAAGAGCCGCCGGGCCCAUCGCUCGACUUCUGCUGACUCUGCCUCCUCUUCUGAUACUUCCCGCAGUCGGUCUCGAAGUGCUGCGGCUAAAACCCAUACAACUACAUUAACUGGGCGAAGUCCUUCCCCUGCUUCAGAGUGUCGGGGGGAGGGAGGUGCACCUUCCAAGGAACCAGGUGCUUCCAGCGCUGGGCAGUCCGGCAGCCCCGAGCCCUCGGCAAAGCAGCCUAGUAGCCCUUCCGAAGACAAAGAUAAGGAUAAGAAGGAGAAAUCUGCAACUCGACCUAGUCCCUCUCCGGAAAGGAGCAGCACAGGCCCAGAACCACCUGGUCCCACUUUGCUCCUUGCUGAGCAACAAGGCGGCUCCCCACAAGCCCUUACAGCAACUCCCUUGAGUCAGGAGCCAGUGAAUCCCCCAAACGAGGCCUCCCCACCUCGUGGCCGUUCACCUCCUAAGUCUCCUGAGAAACCUCCCCCGUCUUCCUCAGAGAGCUGCCCGCCAUCCCCUCAACUUACCAAAGCUUCUCGGCAUGCCAGCUCUUCCCCAGAAAGUCCUAAACCCGCACCACCACCUGGAUCCCGCCGAGAGGCUUCUUCUUCUCCCGCAUCUAAAAGUCGCUCACAUGGCCGAGCAAAGCGGGAUAAGUCACAUUCUCAUACUCCCCAGAGAGGGGGCCGGUCUCGUAGCCCUGCCACUACUAAGAGGGGUGCGAGGUCUCGAUCUCGAACCCCUACCAAGAGAGGUCAUUCUCGAUCCCGGUCCCCUCAGUGGCGUAGGUCCCGGUCUGCACAGAGGUGGGGACAAUCUAGAAGCCCUCAGCGGCGUGGCCGCUCCAGGUCUCCUCAGCGACCAGGCUGGUCCAGGAGCAGAAAUACCCAGAGAAGAGGCAGGUCUAGGUCAGCCCGGCGAGGCAGGUCACAAUCAAGAUCUCCAGCAACUAGAGGGAGAUCUCGCUCUAGAACACCAGCCCGGCGAGGCAGGUCGCGUUCUAGAACACCUGCCAGACGGAGAUCACGGUCCAGAACACCGGCCAGGCGCAGGUCUCGUAGCAGAUCACCAGUCCGGAGGGGCAGGUCUCGCUCUAGAUCUGUUAGGCGUAGAUCUAGAACCCGAUCGGUACGACGGCGGUCUCGUAGUAGAUCACCAGCCAGGCGAGGUGGCCGGUCACGCUCUAGAUCUGCAGCCAGGCGAGGUGGCCGGUCACGCUCUAGAUCUGCAGCCAGGCGAGGUGGCCGGUCACGCUCUAGAUCUGCAGCCAGGCGAGGUGGCCAGUCACGCUCUAGAAGCCCAGCCAGGAGAGUGAGAUCUCGGUCUAGGACACCUGUAAGACGAAGAUCCCGAAGUAGAAGUCUAGUUAGACGGGGAAGGUCCCAUUCUAGAACACCCCAAAGAAGAGGCAGAUCUGGUUCAUCAUCAGAGCGGAAGAAUAAAUCCAGAACAUCACAGAGAAGGAGCAGGUCCAACUCUAGUCCCGAAAUGAAAAAGUCACGAGUUUCUUCAAGGCGGAGCAGAUCGCUCUCUUCACCACCCUCCAAAGCAAAGUCUCGCCUGUCUUUAAGGCGAAGUCUUUCAGGAUCUUCUCCAUGCCCUAAACAAAAGUCUCAGACACCAUUGAGGCGAAGUCACUCUGGAUCACCCCAACUUAAAGCAAAAUCUAGAACACCACCAACGCACAGUCGCUCUGGUUCUUCUCCACCUCCUAGCCAGAAAUCGAAAACUUCAUUAAGUCAGAGUCGUUCCAGUUUGUCCCCUCAACCUAAAGUAAAAUCUGGAACUUCACCAAGGCGGGAGUCAGUAACCAGUCCCCAGGCAAGUGAACAGUCUACACCACCGCAGAGGCAGAGCCGUUCAGAAUCAUCUCCUGACCCUGAGGUGAAAUGUAAGACCCCUUUAAGACUCAGCUUCUCUGGAUCUUCUCCUCCUAGAGGGAAACCCAGCACAUCUCCGAGAUGGAGCCGACCUGGGUCUUCAUCUCCACAACCCAAAAUCAAGGCAGUGACAUCACCCACCCAAAGCCAUUCUGGCUCCUCUUCUCCAAGCCCUAGUAGGGUGACAUCUAAAACACCUCCAAGGCAGAGCAGAUCCGAGUCUCCCUGUUUGAAGGUGGAAUCUAGAUUGUUGGGAAGGCACAGCCGUUCCAGGUCCUCCUCACCAGAUACCGAAGUGAAACCUGAGACACCACCAAGACAAAGUCACUCAGGCUCUUCUUCACCAAACUCCAAAGUAACCCAGACAACACCAGGGCAGUGUCUUUCUGGAUCCAAGUCACCGUGUUCCCAAGAGAAGCCUGAAGAGUCACCCGUAGGAUCAUUCACCACCUGUCCUGGAGUAAAAUCCAGUACACCAUCAGGAGAGGGCUAUUAUGGCUUUCCAUCUCUGCAGCACAAAGGACAGUCUGAAAUAUCACCAGACUCUGGAUCUGACACUUCCAGUCCAGAAGCAAGACAGAGUCAUUCUGAGUCUCUGCUUCUGCAAAGCAAAUCUCAAGUAUGUAAGGGUGAUCGGUCCAGAUCCUCAUCUCCCGUCACAGAACUGAGCUCCAUGUCCCCUAAAAGACAAGAUGGAAAUGAACUGGCAACAAGUCCCAUCCUGAAAUCUGGGAUGUCUCCUGAACAGAGCAGGGUAGUGUCUGACUCUUCUCUGUUGGCUGCCUUUGACUCUAACUCUGUUUUGGGGCAGAGUAGAUUGGAGUCCUCUGAAUUGAAAGAGAAUACUGGCUUAGCCCUUCAGGAGGGUGCUACUGCUUCAUCUCCUCCACCAAGAGACAAGCUGAGUCCUCUGGUGCAGGAUAGGUCUGACUUCUCACCCGUGUUCAAAGAUGCAGCUCGAACUCCGUCAAGGGAAAGUGGUGGCCUUGGGUCAUCUCCAGACACAAAAGACCAAAGUAGUCCACUAGCUAAGAAAAGCCAAGAUGAUGAAAUAAUGGAGGUGGCGGAGAAAUCUGAGGAGUCCCUGAGCCAGCCCCUUCCCCAUUUGUCUCCAGAAACAAAAGAAAUGACUGGAAGUAAUUUUGAGUCAUCUCCUGAGAUGGAAGACAGGCCUGCUGUUUCUUUGACAUUUGAGCAAAGCCAGUCGCAGACUCUGCAAGCAGAAGUCUCUGCAGCAACCUCCACGUGGAGCGGGCCACCGUUUUCUCCAGAACACAAGGAACCUUCUCACUCCCCUGGUAGGGACAAUAGCUGUGGCUCACCAUUGGAACUUAGAGAUACAGGCCUCGUUGCAGAAGCAAACGCUGGACUUUCUCCUGAGGUUAAAGAUGUGAAUGGACCGUUUACUAAUCAGCUGGAGACAGAUCCGUCUCUAGAUGUGAAAGAACAAUCCACAAGGUCUUCCAGACACAGCAGUUCUGAGUUGUCCCCAGAUGCAGUGGAAAAGGCAGGAGUGUCUUCAAAUCAGAGUGCUUCACCUGUGCUCGAUGCCAUACCCAGAACACCCUCUAGGGAAAGAAGUAGUUCUGUAUCUUCCCCUGAGCUGAAAGACGGUUUACCCAGAACCCCUUCAAGGAGAAGCAGAUCUGGGUCUUCCCCUGGACUGAGAGACGGGUCAGGGAGUCCAUCAAGGCACAGUUUAUCCGGGUCCUCUCCUGGAAUGAAGGAUGUACCUAGAACACCAUCCAGGGGGAGAAGUGAGUGCGAUUCUUCUCCAGAACCAAAAGCUUUGCCUCAGACUCCCAGGCCAAGGAGUCGUUCUCCGUCCUCCCCAGAGAUGAACAACAAGUGUCUUACUCCCCAGAGAGAAAGAAGUGGAUCAGAAUCCUCAGUUGAGCAGAAGGCUGUGGCUAGGACUCCUCUUGGCCAGAGAAGUCAGUCUGAAUCUUCGCAAGAAGUUGACGGGAAACCACCCAGUAUCUCCCCUCAGGAAGGAAGUGAGUCUGACUCUUCUCCAGAUUCUAAGGCCAAGACACGUGUGCCGCUCAGACAGAGGAGUCACUCUGGGUCCUCCCCAGAGGUUGACAGCAAGUCUCGACCUUCUCCCAGGCGCAGUCGUUCUGGCUCAUCCCCUGAAAUGCAAGAGAAGCCAAGAGCAGCAGCCAGGGCACAGAGCGCUUCGGAUUCCUCGCCUGAGCCCAAGGUUCCUGUGUCCCGGGCCCUUCCCAGACGAAGCAGGUCUGGGUCUUCCAGCAAAGGCAGAGGCCCUUCUCCUGAGGGGAGCAGCAGUUCUGAGUCCUCUCCAGAACACCCCCCCAAAUCCAGAGCUGCUAGGAGAAGUUCUAGAUUAUCACCAGAACCAAAGACCAAGUCUCGAACCCCCCCUCGCCGUCGUGGCUCUCGGUCAUCCGAACUGACCAGGAAGACGAGGCUCUCCCGCCGAAGCCGCUCUGCCUCGUCCUCACCAGAAACCCGCUCUCGAACUCCGCCGAGGCGCCGGCGAAGUCCUUCGGUGUCAUCCCCAGAGCCAGUUGAGAAGUCGAGGUCCUCACGGCGACGACGUUCAGUUUCCUCUCCACGCACCAAGACCACUUCAAGGAGAGGGCGUUCUCCUUCACCAAAGCUUCGUGGGCUACAGAGGUCCCGGUCCCGCUCAAGGCGGGAGAAAACCAGAACCACCCGACGCCGGGAUAGGUCUGGUUCCUCUCAGUCCACCUCCCGGAGAAGACAGCGGAGCCGUUCAAGAUCUCGGCUUACUCGGAGGCGCAGGGGGGGUUCUGGUUACCGGUCAAGGUCUCCAGCUCGGCAGGAGAGCUCUCGAACUUCUCGACGCAGAAGAGGCCGCUCCCGCACACCCCCAACCAGCCGCAAGCGCUCCCGCUCGCGUACAUCACCGGCGCCAUGGAAACGCUCCAGGUCCCGGGCCUCUCCAACCACUCACCGGAGAUCCAGGUCCAGGACGCCCCUGGUCAGCCGGCGGAGGUCCAGGUCUCGGACCUCCCCAGUCAGCCGGCGGCGGUCACGGUCCAGGACCUCUGUCACUCGCCGAAGAUCUCGGUCUAGAGCGUCCCCAGUGAGUCGGAGGCGAUCUAGGUCUAGAACACCACCAGUCACCCGUCGAAGGUCAAGGUCCAGGACCCCUGCUCGCCGCCGCUCCCGGUCUAGAACUCCACUAGUGACUCGCAGAAGGUCCAGAUCAAGGACUCCGCUGGUGACCAGAAGGCGGUCUCGAAGCAGAACCUCACCCAUCACACGCAGAAGAUCAAGAUCUAGAACCUCCCCAGUCACCCGGAGGAGGUCUCGAUCUCGCACUUCACCGGUAACGCGCAGGCGGUCCCGCUCUCGAACCUCCCCGGUGACACGCCGUCGUUCCAGGUCACGCACCCCUCCAGUCAUUCGCCGUCGUUCUAGGUCUCGGACCCCGCUUCUGCCACGCAAGCGUUCUCGAAGUCGCUCACCUGUUGUUAUUCGGCGCCGAUCUCGAUCCCGUACCCCGAGAACAACACGGGGCAAGCGGUCCCUUACAAGGUCUCCUCCUGCCAUCCGCCGGCGUUCUGCAUCUGGAAGUAGCUCCGACCGCUCUCGAUCUGCUACUCCUCCAGCCACCAGGAAUCACUCUGGCUCUCGAACUCCCCCAGUGGCUCUCAGCAGCUCUCGGAUGAGCUGCUUCAGUCGUCCCAGCAUGUCCCCAACUCCUCUCGACCGCUGUAGGUCACCUGGACUGCUGGAGCCCCUCGGCAACUCGAGAACGCCCAUGUCUGUCCUGCAGCAAAGUGGUGGCUCCAUGCUGGAUACUCCAGGUCCUCGAAUCCCUGAUCACCCCAGGUCGUCUGUGCCAGAAAACCACGCUCAGUCUCGAAUCGCGCUUGCUCUGACAGCCAUCAGUCUCGGCACCGCCCGGCCGCCUCCGGCCAUGUCUGCCGCCAGCCUCGCUGCAAGAAUGGCCCAGGUUCCGGCGCCUGUGCCUCUUAUGAGUCUCCGGACGGCACCAGCCGCCAGCCUUGCCAGCAGGAUACCCGCAGCCUCUGCAGCAGCCAUGAACUUGGCCGGCGCCAGGACACCUGCCAUCCCAACUGCAGUGAACCUGCCCGACUCGAGAACACCAGCCACGGCAGCAGCCAUGACCCUGGCCAGCCCCAGAACAGCGGUGGCACCUUCGGCUGUGAACCUCACUGACCCUCGCACCCCCACAGCCCCAGCCGUGAACCUCGCAGGAGCCAGAACCCCAGCUGCCUUGGCUGCUCUGAGCCUCUCAGGAUCUGGCACCCCACCCGCUGCCGCGAGCUAUCCCUCCAGCUCCAGAACACCCCAGGCACCGGCCCCUGCGAACCUGGUGGGCCCCCGGUCUGCACACACCUCGGCCCCAGUGAACAUCGCCAGCUCAAGAACCCCUCCGGCCUUGGCCCCUGCGAGCCUCACCAGCGCUAGAAUGGCUCCGGCCUUGUCUGGUGCAAACCUCACCAGCCCCAGGGUGCCCCUCUCUGCCUACGAGUGCAUCAGUGGCAGAGCCUCACCACCACUUCUCGACCCGGCCAGGUCCAGAACCCCACCCGGUGGCCCAGGCUCCAGAACCCCGCCGUCUGCCUCGAGUCAGUCCAGGAUGAGCUCGGAACAGGCUGCCUCUCCUGCCUCUCGGAUGGUCCAGGCCUCCUCACAGUCAGCUCUCCCGCCCGCCCAGGAUGGACCUAGGUCCCCUGUGCCAGCAGCUUUUUCUGAUCAGUCCCGGUCUUUGCUUGCCCAGUCCACCCCGGCAGCUGGGUCUCAGCCCCUCUCCUCUGGGACGGUGGCAAAGACCGUGUCCUCUGGCGACCACGAUGGCAUGCUUGCUGGCCCUGUUGCUGGGGCAUCUCACCCUGAGGGUGGGGAGCCACCCGCCUCUACCGGGGCCCAGCAAUCUUCUGCGCUGGCUGCCCUGCAGCCGGCAAAGGAGCGACGGAGCUCUUCCUCCUCAUCCUCCUCAAGCUCCUCCUCCUCGUCCUCUUCAUCAUCUUCGUCAUCUUCAUCAUCCUCCGGCUCCAGUUCCAGCGACUCAGAGGGCUCUAGCCUUCCAGCUCAGCCUGAGGUAGCGCCGAAGAGGGUCCCCAGCCCCAUACCAGCCCCGAAGGAGGCCAUUCGAGAGGGCCGUCCUCAGGAGCCGACCCCAGCCAAAAGGAAGAGGCGCUCUAGCAGCUCUAGCUCCAGCUCCUCUUCUUCCUCCUCCUCAUCCUCCUCCUCCUCCUCCUCCUCCUCCUCUUCAUCAUCCUCUUCAUCCUCCUCCUCCUCCUCCUCCUCCUCUUCCUCCUCUCCCUCCCCUGCUAAGCUUGGCCCCCAGGCCUUGCCCAAACCUGCAAGCCCCAAGAAGCCACCCCCUGGCGAGCAGAGCCUCUUCCCUGUCUCCCUGCCUCCACGCCAUUCUCUUCCACACGUAGCCAGAGGGAUCUUUCUAAAACGCACAUCUGGUUACUUCCCUCCACUCCACAAAUCCUUCCGGGACGCCCUGUGGCCUGCAGGAUAAAGCCCCACCUCUGCGGGAAUGGCGUGUGAGGCGCUUCACCAACUGGCCUUGCCUGCCCCGUCUCCUGCCCGCCCCCACACAUGCCCUGUGCUCCAGCCGCACCCGGCGCCUUGCAGUCUAAGGAGAACCCCAUGCCUUUGGACAUGCUGUUCCUUCUGCCUGGCGAACUCCUCGUUCUGCAAGACUCCGCUCAGACAGCACCUUGGAGAAGACCACCCUGCCCCUGCCCCUGCCCGGCCCCGCCCCCAGCCCCGCACAUCUGUCCUGCGGGGCUGCCCCCACACAUGUGCUGGGCGAGCCUCCCUUGGCUCUCCUCCACUCCCAGGCAGUCCUCCAAGGCAGGGGCUGUCUCUCUCUUGGCGUCCCCCGCUGCACCCCGGGCCCUGCCCAUUGCGGGCCCUCGGAAGGUGUGCGGGCGGACGGGUGAGUGAGCUGACACAGGUGGGUCUGAGGCUGGCCCCGCGUGGUGUGAGGCUUGGGUCAGGACGGGCGGCCUACGUGCUGCUGGGGUCGAGGUGUGGUGCUAUGGGACGCGCUCUGCCCCCCAGGUCCCGAAGCCCCCGGAAGCCGAUCGACUCCCUCCGGGACUCCAGGUCCCUUAGCUACUCACCUGCAGAGCGCCGCCGCCCCUCACCCCAACCAUCACCCCGGGACCAGCAGAGCAGCAGCAGUGAGCGUGGUUCCCGGAGAGGCCAGC